UUUAUCUUUUUCUUUAUUGCUCUCUCUCUCUCUCUCUCUCUCUCUCUCUCUCUCUCUCUCUCUCUCCCGUUUGGUUUGAUUCUCCGAAAGCCGCAAAAAUAUACCCCUUCUUUCUCUUUCUGCCCUUUUCAUUCUCCCCAACUUCAUCGGGGUUCAGACCCAACCGGACCCCUUUCGUGCCUCUCUCUUCUCUGCAAAUCUUGCCCACUUCUCCUUCACGGAACCCAUAGCCGGGUUCUCUCGUCUUCUCUGACGAUUUUCUCCAUUCGAGCUAAACCCACCGCCGUACAUAGUUUCUAAUUCAAACCCACUGAUUUGACUCGCAGAACCCUCACACACCGGCCAUUCUUUUCCUAUUCUAAAACCCACUUGCCCGAUCAUUUGCUUGAGGCUUCCAUUUUUCUUUGUAAUCCAGUAUUCAACACACUGCGAGACUGAGAAGCAUACCAAAUCGGACCCUUUUCUCUGGUGUUCGCCCUCUUCCUCAAUCCGUUCGGUUUGUUCUCUUUUCGAAAUCCAAGACCCACCGCUGCUUCACUGGUCAAAGGCUCUGUCUUCAAGCUCAGUCGCCAGAUCCUGGAGACGGAGUAUCCCUAAUCUCAGCGAGACGCUGGUCUUACGGACGGUAAAGAUUCGUCCUUGCUUCGGUAUUUGGUACUGUAAAGUUGUGGGUAUUGCUGAGUGAGAAUAUUACAUAGAGCUUUUGUUUGAUUCUUGACAGUCUCACUGAAUGAUAUAUAUGGAUUUUUGUGUUUGGUUUUGUUAGUUUUCUUUCUCCUUUUCUUUUUGUUCUUCCUUGUUAUAGUUCGUUAGUUUGUUACAAUUGUCUGUGAAGAAGAUGUUUCCUUUAUAUUUGAUUCCAGGCGUCAGAUAGUGGUAGACAUGAAGUCAUAUUACAUACUAUUCAGUAACCAGAGAUUAAUGUCUUAUUUACAAUCUUUGAAUACAGUUGUCUUAAUUUGCUGGCUUGAGGUGUAGGAGGUUUCUUUUUCUUGGAAGAAGAUAACUGUCUAGUAUUAGAAAGCGCCAGUUUAGGAAAGAAUGCAAAUUUAUAUGUCUUGUAUUUAGAAAGCACCGGUUUAGGAAAGAAUACAAAUUUAUAUGUUAAUCAAAAUAUUGAUACCCCAAAAUUCUCCUCAGAACAAAGAUGAUAAGCUUUGAACAAAGCAUAUUCUGAAAGAAAAGAUCUUCAAUCAUAGAAAAAGUAGUUCAUGGAUGUUCUGUUCCUUUCGCAGAAAAUAGCUGAAGAAUAAAAGAAAUAAGGUUCUUUCUGUGGUCAAAAGAAACCUCCUGUAAGUCCAUAGAGAAGAUUUUUGUUAGAACUCCAUUUACUUCUUGAUAAUGUUGAUUUGGUUACAAAUGGGAUGCAGCUAAACAAUUUCUUCUAUAUCCAUUGCUUGGUGACGUAAUCCAAACUAGUUUUUAUUAAGAUGUAAUAUAGUGGAGAAUUCUAAGAUCCAAUUAUUGGCUUGAGGCAGAGGUUGGAUUACUAUGAGUUGCGAUCUCUCUGACUUAGGUGUAUGUUAGAGAAAAGUGGAAUGUAUUUUUAUGGAUGUGUUAAGUUCAAAGUUGUGGUUGCACACUCAAUGAGGUUCUGGAGGGAGAUAAAUUCUUGAUGCAUCCGUCUUUGCUAAUGAAUUGGUGGAGAAGGUGAAAAGGUCUAAAGGCAAGCUACUCAUUCUUAAACUGGAUUUUGAGAAGUGCUAAGAUAGGGUUAAUGGGUGUUUUUUGGAUAAAAUUACGUGUAGGAAGGAGUUUGGUAAUAAAUGGCAGAGUUGGUGGAGAUUUUCAGUUGUAUGUUAUCUUGAGAUUGUGAGUGAAGUUCUAUGAAAGGUAUUGGGACAGAUAACAUUGUGAUCUGUUCAAUUACAAUUUGCAAACGGUACAAUUUUCUUUAAAAAAAAAAGGGUAUGAUCUUCUUUAAAAAAAGGGUACAAUCUUCGUUCCCUCGAAUGGUAAUUGUUGAGUAGUGAUUCAUAUUCAGAGGAUUUAUUGUUUGCAAUUUGGGCCCAGGCUGUUUUUACCAUAAGGGUUAUGCUUGUAAAUUUUGCUUCUGUCCUUUCCACUAUAAUUAAAUAAACCUUAGUUAUAAGAUAUGGUUCUUCAUAUGGUAAAAAAUUU
RNAcentral lists this long non-coding RNA (2121 nucleotides) under Carica papaya (papaya). RNAcentral describes it as "long non-coding RNA (CPAP_LNC000049)". Lineage: Eukaryota; Viridiplantae; Streptophyta; Magnoliopsida; Brassicales; Caricaceae. The record is from RNAcentral.